RNA transcript from Camelina sativa (false flax), 923 nucleotides. RefSeq lists it as uncharacterized. Lineage: Eukaryota; Viridiplantae; Streptophyta; Magnoliopsida; Brassicales; Brassicaceae. The record is from RefSeq and is a predicted model, not a curated record.
GAUGGUGAAUAUUUGCACAAUCGCAAGAUUCAUCUUGAUGUGGCUAAGACAGAUCCUCCAUGCUCUUCUCCACAGCCCAAGUAUUUCAUAGAUCACAAGGUUUGGUAUGAAGACUACCUUCGACAAGAAAGCCUCCUGAUAGAAGAAGAUGAGGCAGUGGAAGGACUUGAUGAAACUCCCAAUUUUGUUGAGGAAGUUGCCGUAAGAAAAAGGACACUCUUUAUUUCAAAUCUCUCUUUAAAAACUAAAAUACCAGACAUGUAAGUAGCGUAGCACCUUUUAGUAUCCUCUUGUGUUCUUGUGGCUUUGUUGAGUUUGCUUCUGCUAACAAAGCAAAGGAGGCGCUGCAAAAGAAGAACGGAGGAAAAUUGCAGCGUCAUUAUAUUUCUCUUGAUGUGGCUGAGAUAGCUCCAUACCCUCUCCGACCCAAGUACAACCUUGCAGAGAAGCUUUGGAACGAAGACUGCCUUGGACGAGAAAACCUUAUGAUAGAAGAAGCUGAUUGGCAGACAAAACCCAAUAGGAAAAUGAAGCUCUAUGGGGUUCAUAAGAAGGUAAUCUUCAGUGUAUCUCGCGGUAAGAAGAUUACCUUCUCUGACGACAAGUGAUAGAAGAAGAAGAAGAAGAAGCUCUUUAGCGUUUUAACGUGUGAUACAAUGCUACUUUUUUGAAUAACUUGGGUUUUUCAGAGAAUGUUUUUCCCUUGAGUCCUUAAUCUUUGAUUGUUGUCAUGAAAGCAUAUAUAAGUUAUGUUCUUGUACUUCAAUAGAUUCAAGUUAUGUUCCUAGAAGCUCAGCUUUGUUUUGCCUCUAUUUCAAAUAAUGUUAUUAGUUAUGGCGUAAAAAAAGACCAAACCUAGACUAUAUUGCUUGAUCUUACGAUCCAUAAGCAAAGUACAUAAUGUGUGAUAUAACUGCCGUAGU